ACUCUGCAAAAUAUACUCGGUUCAGCUUUUCAAGCACAUUUUAUUUGGGCAGAUAUAUUGAAGUGUUUUUACAAAUGACACCUUUUCCCCUAGAUUUACAGAGUAUUUUAGAAAGAUCAUUACUUCCCCUACACUGGAAAAACUGGAACUUUGACUUUAAUCAGAUGGAUUAUGUCAACAGAUUUCACAUAACUGUACGCGGUUAGUUGAAAGCAACAAAUAUUAGGUAACAUCAGGUUCAACUUAAUAUUAUUUGAUUAAAGUCAACAUUUCAGUUGUUUCAGUGUAGGUGGACCUUAAAAUGGCAAUAGUCCAGUGAAAUAUCUCAAAGAAUGAGAAGACUGCUAUUCAAUGUGUUAAUAAUAAGUAACAUAUUCCCCAGAAGGUUUUUCUGAAUGACAAUAAUUUGGGGAUAGAAAUGUAUAUGCAUUUCAUUGAUUAAAUGACAUAUCACAAAAAUAUGCAAACACAGAAC
This is a long non-coding RNA of Notothenia coriiceps (black rockcod), 475 nucleotides long. RefSeq lists it as uncharacterized. The transcript is spliced from 3 exons. Lineage: Eukaryota; Metazoa; Chordata; Actinopteri; Perciformes; Nototheniidae. The record is from RefSeq and is a predicted model, not a curated record.